AGUGAACGCUGGCGGUAGGCCUAAUACAUGCAAGUCGAACGGCCGCACAGUAAGCGUUCGCCUCUACGGUUGGCGACUGGCGGGUGGGUGACGCAUACAUCGCCUACCUCUAUUACGUGGGGGACAUCGUAGGGCCACAUCUGCUAACACCGCAUAUGUUCUACGGCUGAAAUCAGGAGUUCAUGGCACUUUUCCUGUCACUUUGAGCUGGUGCCGCAUUAGCUAGUUGGCGGGGUAAGGGCCCACCAAGGCGACGCUACGUAGCUGGUCUGAGAGGAUGAUCAGCCACACUGGAACUGAGACACGGUCCAGACUCCUACGGGAGGCAGCAGUAGGGAAUAUUGGGCAAUGGGCGCAAGCCUGAUCCAGCCAUGCCGCGUGAGUGAAGAAGGCCUUCGGAUUGUAAAGCCCUUUUAUUAGGAAAGAAAAUCAGCGGAUGAAUACCCCGCUGUUCUGACGGUACCUAAAGAGUAAGCACCGGCUAACUUCGUG
RNAcentral lists this ribosomal RNA (492 nucleotides) under uncultured bacterium. Its description in RNAcentral is "partial 16S ribosomal RNA". It matches the Rfam family "Bacterial small subunit ribosomal RNA", at positions 29 to 507 of the family's 1533-position model. The record is from RNAcentral.